This 685-nucleotide ribosomal RNA is filed under the name uncultured bacterium. RNAcentral's name for it is "bacterial SSU rRNA". It matches the Rfam family "Bacterial small subunit ribosomal RNA", at positions 302 to 980 of the family's 1533-position model. The record is from RNAcentral.
UAUCCCCCCAUUUGGAAAUCGAGAGAGACCGCCCAGUCUCUUAACGGGAGGCAGCAGUGGGAAUUGAACAAUUGGGAGCACCCUGUAUCCAGCCAUGCGGCUGAGUGAGACGCCUUCGGUUGUAAAGCUCCUUUCCGGACGGAAAGAAAUUCGCGCAGGUAAAUAAUCUGCGUGGAUGACGGUACGUAAGAAGAAGCACGGCUAACUACGUGCCAGCAGCGCGGUAAUACGUAGGGUGCGAGCGUAAUCGGAAUUACUGGGCGUAAAGCGUGCGCAGGCGGCUUUGUAAGACAGGUGUGAAAUCCCCGGGGCUUAACCUGGGAAUGGCGCUUGUGACUGCAAGGCUCGAGUGCGGCAGAGGGGGGUGGAAUUCCACGUGUAGCAGUGAAAUGCGUAGAGAUGUGGAGGAACACCGAUGGCGAAGGCAGCCCCCUGGGUCGACACUGACGCUCAUGCACGAAAGCGUGGGGAGCAAACAGGAUUAGAUACCCUGGUAGUCCACGCCCUAAACGAUGCCAACUAGUUGUUGGGGAAGGAGACUUCCUUAGUAACGAAGCUAACGCGUGAAGUUGGCCGCCUGGGGAGUACGGUCGCAAGAUUAAAACUCAAAGGAAUCGACGGGGGCCCGCACAAGCGGUGGAGCAUGUGGUUUAAUUCGACGCAACGCGCAGAACCUUACCAGGCC